ACAUGUCUUUUUGUAAAUAAUUUAAAGUUUAAUUUGCCCACUGAUNAAAUUAUUAAAGGGCUGCAGUAUUUUGACUGUACAAAGGUAGCAUAAUCAUUAGUCUCUUAAUUGGUGACUUGUAUGAAAGAUUGGAUGAAAUAUAUACUGUCUCUAAUUAAUUUAUAAAAUUUAAUUUUUUAGUAAAAAAGCUAAAAUAAGUUUAAAAGACGAGAAGACCCUAUAGAGUUUAAUAAUUUAUUUAAUUAUUAUUAAUAUAUAAAUUUUAAAUUUAAAAUUAAAUAAAUUAUUUUGUUGGGGUGAUAGAAAAAUUAAAUUAACUUUUUUUUUAUUUUAUACAUGAAUUUAUGAAUAGAUGAUCCAUUAAUAAUGAUUAAAAGAAAAAAUUACCUUAGGGAUAACAGCGUAAUUUUUUUUUUUAGUUCAAAUAGGAAAAAAAGUUUGCGACCUCGAUGUUGGAUUAAGAUAAAAUUUAAAUGCAAAAGUUUAAAAUUUUAAUCUGUUCGAUCAUUAAAAUCUUA
This 518-nucleotide ribosomal RNA is filed under the name Papilio paris gedeensis. RNAcentral's name for it is "partial 16S ribosomal RNA". Lineage: Eukaryota; Metazoa; Arthropoda; Insecta; Lepidoptera; Papilionidae. The record is from RNAcentral.